This 229-nucleotide non-coding RNA is filed under the name Faecalibacterium sp. Its description in RNAcentral is "T-box sequence". It matches the Rfam family "T-box leader". Rfam says of the family: Uncharged tRNA acts as the effector for transcription antitermination of genes in the T-box leader family. T-boxes are found upstream of many aminoacyl-tRNA synthetase genes and some amino acid biosynthetic genes usually in Gram-positive bacteria. Lineage: Bacteria; Bacillati; Bacillota; Clostridia; Eubacteriales; Oscillospiraceae. The record is from RNAcentral.
ACAAAUGCGAUGAAAAAGAGUGCGCGCUGCAGUCCGCUUUUCCAGAGAGCCGGGGGAGGUGAAAGCCCGGCAGAGCGGCGCGGUGCGCUGUCACUUUUGAGCAGAGGCGGGGAAUGGAGUAGUCGCCUCCGGUUCUGCCCCACGUUAUCGGGGCAUCAAGGGGCGCAGGCCGCAGUGUCUGCGCAAUUUGGGUGGUACCGCGGUAUGUAGAUUUACAGCCGUCCCAUGG